This 643-nucleotide ribosomal RNA is filed under the name uncultured bacterium. Its description in RNAcentral is "bacterial SSU rRNA". It matches the Rfam family "Bacterial small subunit ribosomal RNA", at positions 336 to 970 of the family's 1533-position model. The record is from RNAcentral.
CUCCUACGGGAGGCAGCAGUGGGGAAUAUUGGACAAUGGGGGCAACCCUGAUCCAGCCAUGCCGCGUGGGUGAAGAAGGCCUUCGGGUUGUAAAGCCCUUUUGUGCGGGAAGAAAAGUCGUCGGUGAACAUCCGGCGAUGCUGACGGUACCGCAAGAAUAAGCACCGGCUAACUUCGUGCCAGCAGCCGCGGUAAUACGAAGGGUGCAAGCGUUACUCGGAAUUACUGGGCGUAAAGCGUGCGUAGGUGGUGAGUUAAGUCUGAUGUGAAAUCCCCGGGCUCAACCUGGGAAUGGCAUUGGAUACUGGCUCGCUGGAGUGCGGUAGAGGGUGGUGGAAUUCCCGGUGUAGCAGUGAAAUGCGUAGAGAUCGGGAGGAACAUCUGUGGCGAAGGCGGCCACCUGGACCAGCACUGACACUGAGGCACGAAAGCGUGGGGAGCAAACAGGAUUAGAUACCCUGGUAGUCCACGCCCUAAACGAUGCGAACUGGAUGUUGGUGGGAACUUGCCCAUCAGUAUCGAAGCUAACGCGUUAAGUUCGCCGCCUGGGGAGUACGGUCGCAAGACUGAAACUCAAAGGAAUUGACGGGGGCCCGCACAAGCGGUGGAGUAUGUGGUUUAAUUCGAUGCAACGCGCAGAACC